CGAUGCGGGGGACACACGUGAGAGGUGCGCACGUGUUCCGGUUCCGGGUCCGGGGAGCGAUGAGGGGCACGGCGGCGGGGACGGAGCGGAGAGCCACGAAAAUGAAGAAAGCGUCCAAAAUAAAGACGGUGAAAAAAGCGAGGGAAGCGUCUCAAGCGGGCAAAGCCCCGAAAAUGGCGAAAACGAAGACUCCGAAGCGGGCGGCAGCCGUGGCGGAUCAGGCGGCGGCGGAGGCGGCGUGGCGCGCCCGGCACCUGAGGGAUGUGAGCCAGGCGUCGGGCGCCGAGCGGGAGCUGGAGGAGCUGGUGUUCGGUGACAGCCUCAAAGUGGAGGAGGACGAGUUGCUGCGGCGCCUGGGCGAGCCCCCGAGGGUUGCUGCCACAGAGAGGAAAAGUCUCCAAGCAGAUUCCAGCGAUUCCGAGGUAGAAAAUGAAGCCAAAGGCGACUUGUUGCCCAGAAAGCCGGCCUGGAUGGAUGAGGAUGAUGAAGCCGAGGAAAAUGUUGACAUGACCCAUAAAUACAGGAAGGAUUUCAUGAAAAGCGAUGCUGAGAAGACACUUACUAAGAAAAAACUAAAAAGAAGACUUGAGGAACAGUUUCAGCAAGCCAUGGGAGGAGUUCCUGCCUGGGCUAAUUUAGAAAACAGGAAGAAAUCCAAAAGGACUUCAAGUGAUAGUGAGAGUGAUGAAGAUGAUGAUCUUCUACGCAGGACUGGCAAUUUCAUAACGAGCUCAGAGUCCCUGCCAAGAGGGAUUUUGAAGAUGAGCACCUGCCUGCCUGCAAACCAGGAACGCUUUGCCGAUGGAAAGCUGGUGACGGUGCAGUUCCACCCUUCAGCCCAAGUGGUCAUGACUGCGGGACACGAUCGGUCUGUGUCGCUCUUCCAGGUGGAUGGUAUAAGGAAUCCAAAAAUACAGAGCAUCUAUUUAGAGAGUUUUCCAAUUUAUAAGGCUCGUUUCAGUGUUGAUGGAGAACAAGUUAUAGCCACUGGUACUCACCACAGCAUGUUCUUUGUGUAUGACAUGAUGGCUGGAAAUAUUAUUCCUAUACCCAAAGUCCGAGGUGUGGAGGAAAGAUUUCUCAGAAACUUUGAGCUCUCUCCAGAUGGAUCAUUUAUGCUGCUAAUUGGAACCUCGGGUUACCUUCACUUGCUGUCCAUGAAGACAAAGGAACUGAUCAGCACUAUGAAGGUAAAUGGAAGAUGCACUGCAUCUGCUUUCACUCCAGACAGCAGUAAAAUAUACAACUAUUCAAAGGAAGGUGAAGUUUUCAUUUGGGAUGUGAGAAGCAGGAAGUGUCUACACAAAUUUGAAGAUGAAGGUUCUUUGGAAGGACAGUGCAUUGCUGUUUCAAAGAACAACCAGUAUGUGGCAUGUGGUUCAUCUUCAGGGGUUGUAAAUUUAUAUACCACUGAUGUCUGUCUCAAGGAAAACCGUCCUAAGCCAGUUAAGGCCAUAAUGAACCUUGUUACUUCUGCCACCUGUGUGACCUUCAACCCCACCACGGAAAUUUUGGCGGUGGCUUCCCGUGAUGCUGAUGAGGCUGUGAAAUUGCUUCUGACCUAUUUCUCAAUAGGUGCACAUUCCUUCAUACACUGUGUUCUCAAACUUCCCAGUGUUCAGAAGAAAACAGAUUUAUCUUGCUCAGUCUAUGGACUUUUCUCCCAGAAGUGGCUAUUUCUCUGUAGCAAAUAACAAAGGCAAAGCCUUGUUAUUUAGGCUGAAACAUUAUUCAUCUUUCUGAAAGAAGGUACAGCAGAAAAUGGACCAGUAACUGAGGUGUUGUAACCUGCAGAUACGAGUAUGCUGACAAAAUCAAACAAGUCUUAUUUAUAUGGAAGUUACAAAAUACUAGUAGAACAUCUGUAUUUUUGAAUGUUGGUUUUUUUUUUUAAUAAAUAUACCUGGUAAGUUUCCAGGCAA
Molecule: RNA transcript, 1922 nt
Organism: Pseudopipra pipra
Lineage: Eukaryota; Metazoa; Chordata; Aves; Passeriformes; Pipridae
Gene: UTP18
Gene name: UTP18 small subunit processome component
Exons: 14
Source: RefSeq, a predicted model, not a curated record